CCUGUACUUGAUAAGAGAAUGAUGGAGUGACGAAAAAAGAUAGUUUUACCACUUAGUGGAUUGUGGGGUAAAUAAUUAGGAAGUUGUAUAGGCAAAUCCGYACAACAUUAAUUCUGAGUUAUGAUGCAUAGUGAAGGGGCGACCCAAGUAGCGAAUUAAAUGAUUCUAUGUUUCCAAGAAAAACUUCUAGUGUUAAUUUCUUACCAACCUGUACCGAGAACGGACACACGUCCCCAAGAUGAGUAUUCUAAGGCGAGCGAGAAAACCAAUGUUAAGGAACUCUGCAAAAUUACCCCGUAAGUUCGCAAGAAGGGGUGCCCAUUUAUGGGCCACAGUAAAAUAGGGGGGGCAACUGUUUAUCAAAAACACAGCUCUCUGCUAAGUUGCAAAACGAUGUAUAGAGGGUGAAGCCUGCCCAGUGCCCGAAGGUUAAGCGGAGAUGUUAG
This 446-nucleotide ribosomal RNA is filed under the name Mesomycoplasma conjunctivae. Its description in RNAcentral is "bacterial LSU rRNA". It matches the Rfam family "Bacterial large subunit ribosomal RNA", at positions 1439 to 1893 of the family's 2925-position model. Lineage: Bacteria; Bacillati; Mycoplasmatota; Mycoplasmoidales; Metamycoplasmataceae. The record is from RNAcentral.